ACCAGCAGUACACAAGUGUUCCUAUUUUCCUGCCUACUUGCCGACACCUGUUAUUUUCCAUUCUUUUGAUUAUAGCUAUCUUAGUGAGUGUUUCACCUGAAAGUUUUACUUUACAAUCUUUUAUCUCGUAUUCUAUAAAUGCCAUCAUUUCUUGAGAGCAAAAAUUUCAGGUGUACAAUAGAGUGAUCCAACAAUUUCUUACAGUACUCAGUGCUCAACAUGAAGGCAAAAAUUACAGGAUCACUCUAAAGCUUUCCCAUUCUUCUCCUGCAUUUGAGUCCCUGCCAAGAUGUAAGUGAUGGUAGCUGACUUCCUUGCUACAGCAAGCUCUGAAUAAAUAACCUUUGCUUGUU
Neofelis nebulosa (Clouded leopard) is the source of this 353-nucleotide long non-coding RNA. RefSeq lists it as uncharacterized. Lineage: Eukaryota; Metazoa; Chordata; Mammalia; Carnivora; Felidae. The record is from RefSeq and is a predicted model, not a curated record. The transcript has 3 exons.